This 169-nucleotide small RNA is filed under the name Spisula solidissima (Atlantic surf clam). Lineage: Eukaryota; Metazoa; Mollusca; Bivalvia; Venerida; Mactridae. The record is from RNAcentral.
UGUGUGAAGGGUGGAAUGUUUAUCUCUGUGUGAAGGUUGGAAUGUUUAUCAAUGUGUGAAGGUUGGAAUGUUUAUCAAUGUGUGAAGGGUGGAAUGUUUAUCUCUGUGUGAAGGUUGGAAUGUUUAUCAAUGUGUGAAGGUUGGAAUGUUUAUCAAUCUGUGAAGGGUG